RNAcentral lists this ribosomal RNA (311 nucleotides) under uncultured eukaryote. RNAcentral's name for it is "partial 18S ribosomal RNA". It matches the Rfam family "Eukaryotic small subunit ribosomal RNA", at positions 1470 to 1796 of the family's 1831-position model. The record is from RNAcentral.
CCCCUAGACGUUCUGGGCUGCACGCGCGCUACAAUAAUACGCACAGCGAGUAUCACCGAGCUCGAAAGGGCAAGGUAAACAAUAGAAAAGGUACUGUAAUGGUUAUAGAUCCUUGUAAUUAUUGAUCUUCAACGAGGAAUUCCUAGUAAGUAUGUGUCAUCAUCACGCACUGAUUACGUCCCUGCCCUUUGUACACACCGCCCGUCGCUCCUACCGAUUGAGUGAGCCGAUGAAACUGCCGGAUGUGGACUAUUCAUAGUCUACAGAAGAUAUUUGAAUCGUAGCGCUUAGAGGAAGGAGAAGUCGUAACA